GCUGGAUUAAAGAUUAUGAAGGUCCAGAUGGAUUUUUAGCGACAUUUUGGGCAGUCUCUUCAUCCUCUAGGUGUAUCAUGAUGUUUUAGUCUCUUUUUGGGCAGUCAUGUGCUUGUAUUUGCUACUCAUUCAGGUGAUCUCAAAUUAGAUUAUGUUUCCAUUGGUAUUCAAGGUUUUUUCUUGGAGCCAGAUGCAUGUGUACUAACCCAAAAUCAUUUCUUCUCUGAAACCGGUAGGAGAUUUUAUCUGGUGCUCCUGUAUGUCAUUAGAUACUUUCCUAUGUUCAUUGGUUUACACUUAUUGUUAUUUUUGUGUGCAACGGGUCUUCUAGCUUACUCAAGCAUUUUCUUUAUGCAGACCUAGCUGUGCUCCUUGAGUUUCUGCCUUGGUGCUUUCGAGUCGUCAAUUUUGGACAACCCAACAGAUAAAUCUAUAGGUAUUGUAUGUGUAAGCUUACACAUUAUUCUAUGGCCUAUUUUUUCUUUCUGCAGGCCAAUUUCAAACCUCCAACAAGGUACCAUGGUAUGAACCCAUUUGCUUUCCCCAAUUUGGAUGUCAUGGAAUUCUUGAACAACAUGGAUUUGCAAGGAAUCGAUUUUGUACAAUUGAUGAUAAUCCACCCCCUUCGCUACUAAAUUAUGCAAUUAAAGCUUCUGUGAUCUUAUUCUGAAGCCCAUUGAAGAUGAUUUAAAGAUGUGGCCACACAGACCUGAAGCUUCAGAGUUUGUGGGUUGCAUGAAAGAGAUCCAAAAGUAGGAUCUAACCAUUAAGGCCCCAAACUGGUUUGAUCUUGACCUAAAAGUAUUGUCCAGUUCCAAUCUGUUCUCUUAUCUGAAAUGGGCGUGGCAAACACUAAUUAUUAACAGUCAUUUGCUACUGCCUUUGUGGGAUCAAGUUGCCUUUUGUAGAAUUGCAUCACGCCAUUUGGAGCCCCUAAUAAUUAGACAGUAUUCAGAUUUGACUUAUUUGAAGUUGCUGCCAGCUGAAACAGGGGAUAGUCCUCCUUUUUUUUUUUGCAUCUCUCGGUAGUCGGUACUGGUACUUUGUUUUAUUAUGGAUUAGUAUGUUCAGUGUUUGCUAAAAUUUCUUCCUAGAGCCGCCUAUUUCAUGUUUCUCUUUGUUGCAGAAGUGUUGCCUGCUCGGUUUAGUCCUCUUUCAUUUAUUCAUUUUAUUGCAUUGAUAAGUAGAUAUCUGAAAUAUCUGCAAGGACAUGAUUUCUUCAUUUCAGCCAUGGUGUACAUUUUGAAUUAAACUUGGUUUAAGAAAUUCCUUGUGCUAUAUUUCCUAUGUGUUCAGAGGCAUAGCAGGUGUAGCCUCUGAAGUUGGAACAUGUGAUAAGUCACAAAUGUUUUUUGGUGUGUGUGUUUCUCAGCAAACUGCACUGAUACUUUUUGUGCAGGUUGAAUGCAGCAUGGCAAUACUUCCUCUUUGGAUACUCACUUUUUUUCCCUGUUUCUUAUCACCCUGUUCUUCCCAGGUGGUUCCAACAGGUGAGGCGAUCUUCGUACGUGCACUUCUGAUCUUACAUAGGUACAUAGGUAGCUUACCUCUUAUAUUUGUUCAUAGAUUCGUACUACCCAUGUGCUCUGACAAAGCUUAGGCUAGACAUCACUAGAUUGUAGUCCACGAGGACUCUCUCAUGAUACUGCCCAAGGAUCCUUUGCUUGGUAGUUAAAGGUGAGAUUGCCUGAUGCAUAUUAUUCUCUUCUAUUUAGCACUGUCAAUGCAUAUUGUUCUUUUAGUCAUCCAUGACAUUAUCCUGUUUUUUACAACAAAAGAAAAAUUACCUGCCUUGAUUUGUGUUUGGUAAGAAGAUCUGGUUGAUACUUAAUCUAUUAUGGUAUACACUAUACCUGAGAUUAAAUCUAAUAUGCUCUCUUAGAAAAUCCUUCCUUUUUCAUUCUCAGCUGAACAUUAUUAUUGUUUUGAAGCUAAUUACCUCAUUUCUCCGCAUGAUCAUCAACAUUCCUGAUAUGUAAUCUGCCUGAGCAACACACUAACCCAAGGGAAUGAGCAGCAUGUUAUCUAUAUGUCAUUGGAUAUAAAGAUUACACUUAUUCGCCCUGUUUGACUUAUUUGUGAAACUUCAUGACGUUCCUAAUCUUUCUCUUAAUAUGAUAUAAAUCAUUACUACCUGAAUGAUUUACUGUUGUGUGUUACUUACCGCAACGCAUCAAAUUGAAUUUUCCUUCACAUGCUUAAACACUAUAUGCUAUUGCCUAAACUUCA
This is a long non-coding RNA of Lolium rigidum, 2229 nucleotides long. RefSeq lists it as uncharacterized. NCBI's taxonomy places the organism in Eukaryota, Viridiplantae, Streptophyta, Magnoliopsida, Poales, Poaceae. The record is from RefSeq and is a predicted model, not a curated record. The transcript has 6 exons.